RNAcentral lists this ribosomal RNA (431 nucleotides) under Burkholderia sp. RNAcentral's name for it is "bacterial SSU rRNA". It matches the Rfam family "Bacterial small subunit ribosomal RNA", at positions 485 to 916 of the family's 1533-position model. Lineage: Bacteria; Pseudomonadati; Pseudomonadota; Betaproteobacteria; Burkholderiales; Burkholderiaceae. The record is from RNAcentral.
AAUAAGCACCGGCUAACUACGUGCCAGCAGCCGCGGUAAUACGUAGGGUGCGAGCGUUAAUCGGAAUUACUGGGCGUAAAGCGUGCGCAGGCGGUUUGUUAAGACCGAUGUGAAAUCCCCGGGCUCAACCUGGGAACUGCAUUGGUGACUGGCAAGCUAGAGUAUGGCAGAGGGGGGUAGAAUUCCACGUGUAGCAGUGAAAUGCGUAGAGAUGUGGAGGAAUACCGAUGGCGAAGGCAGCCCCCUGGGCCAAUACUGACGCUCAUGCACGAAAGCGUGGGGAGCAAACAGGAUUAGAUACCCUGGUAGUCCACGCCCUAAACGAUGUCAACUAGUUGUUGGGGAUUCAUUUCCUUAGUAACGUAGCUAACGCGUGAAGUUGACCGCCUGGGGAGUACGGUCGCAAGAUUAAAACUCAAAGGAAUUGACGG